UGGGGAAUUUUGCACAAUGGGGGAAACCCUGAUGCAGCGACGCCGCGUGAUUUAGAAGGCCUUCGGGUUGUAAAAAUCUUUUCUAUGGGAAGAAAAUGACAGUACCAUAGGAAUAAGGACCGGCUAAUUACGUGCCAGCAGCCGCGGUAAUACGUAAGGUCCGAGCGUUGUCCGGAAUCAUUGGGGGUAAAGGGUACGUAGGCGGGUAAGCAAGUUAGAAGUGAAAUCCUAUAGCUCAACUAUAGUAAGCUUUUAAAACUGCUCAUCUUGAGGUAUGGAAGGGAAAGUGGAAUUCCUAGUGUAGCGGUGAAAUGCGCAGAUAUUAGGAGGAAUACCGGUGGCGAAGGCGACUUUCUGGCCAUAACCUGACGCUGAGGUACGAAAGCGUGGGUAGCAAACAGG
Molecule: ribosomal RNA, 402 nt
Filed under: bacterium
Lineage: Bacteria
Description: partial 16S ribosomal RNA
Rfam family: Bacterial small subunit ribosomal RNA
Source: RNAcentral